GACGAACGCCGGCGGCGUGCCUAAUACAUGCAAGUAGAACGCUGAAGGAGGAGCUUGCUUCUCUGGAUGAGUUGCGAACGGGUGAGUAACGCGUAGGUAACCUGCCUGGUAGCGGGGGAUAACUAUUGGAAACGAUAGCUAAUACCGCAUAAUAGCAGUUAUUGCAUGAUAACUGUUUGAAAGGUGCAAUUGCACCACUACCAGAUGGACCUGCGUUGUAUUAGCUAGUUGGUGGGGUAACGGCUCACCAAGGCGACGAUACAUAGCCGACCUGAGAGGGUGAUCGGCCACACUGGGACUGAGACACGGCCCAGACUCCUACGGGAGGCAGCAGUAGGGAAUCUUCGGCAAUGGACGGAAGUCUGACCGAGCAACGCCGCGUGAGUGAAGAAGGUUUUCGGAUCGUAAAGCUCUGUUGUAAGAGAAGAACGAGUGUGAGAGUGGAAAGUUCACACUGUGACGUAUCUACCAGAAAGGACGCA
RNAcentral lists this ribosomal RNA (482 nucleotides) under Streptococcus mitis. RNAcentral's name for it is "bacterial SSU rRNA". It matches the Rfam family "Bacterial small subunit ribosomal RNA", at positions 28 to 496 of the family's 1533-position model. Lineage: Bacteria; Bacillati; Bacillota; Bacilli; Lactobacillales; Streptococcaceae. The record is from RNAcentral.